RNAcentral lists this transfer RNA (86 nucleotides) under Clostridiales bacterium. RNAcentral's name for it is "tRNA-Leu". It matches the Rfam family "tRNA". From Rfam's summary of the family: Transfer RNA (tRNA) molecules are approximately 80 nucleotides in length. Their secondary structure includes four short double-helical elements and three loops (D, anti-codon, and T loops). Lineage: Bacteria; Bacillati; Bacillota; Clostridia; Eubacteriales. The record is from RNAcentral.
GCCGGCGUGGCGGAACUGGCAGCCGCACAGGACUUAAAAUCCUGCGGGACCAAAAUCCCGUACCGGUUCGAUUCCGGUCGCCGGCA